CCUACGGGUGGCAGCAGUGGGGAAUAUUGCACAAUGGGGGAAACCCUGAUGCAGCGACGCCGCGUGAGUGAAGAAGGAAUUCGUUAUGUUAAACUCUAUCAGCAGGGAAGAAAAUGACGGUACCUGAGCAACAAGCCCCGGCUAACUACGUUCCAGCAGCCGCGGUAAUACGUAGGGGGCAAGCGUUAUCCGGAUUUACUAGGUGUAAAGGUAGCGUAGACGGCAGUGCAAGUCUGGAGUGAAAGGCGGGGGCUCAACCCCCGGACUGCUCUGGAAACUGUACGGCUGGAGUGAAGGAGAGGUAAGUGGAAUUCCUGGUGUAGCAGUGAAAUGCGUAGAUAUCAGGAGGAACACCAGUGGCGAAGGCGGCUUACUGGACUGUAACUGACGCUGAGGCACGAAAGCGUGGGGAGCAAACAGGAUUAGAUACCCGUGUAGUC
Molecule: ribosomal RNA, 440 nt
Filed under: uncultured bacterium
Lineage: Bacteria
Description: partial 16S ribosomal RNA
Rfam family: Bacterial small subunit ribosomal RNA
Source: RNAcentral